GGAUGAAUAUUGGACAAUGGAGGCAACUCUGAUCCAGCCACGCCGCGUGCAGGAAGACGGCCCUAUGGGUUGUAAACUGCUUUUAUACAGGAAGAAACGUCAGUACGUGUACUGACCUGACGGUACUGUAAGAAUAAGGAUCGGCUAACUCCGUGCCAGCAGCCGCGGUAAUACGGAGGAUCCAAGCGUUAUCCGGAAUUAUUGGGUUUAAAGGGUCCGCAGGCGGUCUGAUAAGUCAGAGGUGAAAUACUAUCGCUCAACGAUAGAACUGCCUUUGAUACUGUUAGACUUGAGUUAUUGUGAAGUAGUUAGAAUGUGUAGUGUAGCGGUGAAAUGCAUAGAUAUUACAC
Molecule: ribosomal RNA, 350 nt
Filed under: uncultured bacterium
Lineage: Bacteria
Description: bacterial SSU rRNA
Rfam family: Bacterial small subunit ribosomal RNA
Source: RNAcentral